Molecule: ribosomal RNA, 588 nt
Filed under: uncultured Weissella sp.
Lineage: Bacteria; Bacillati; Bacillota; Bacilli; Lactobacillales; Lactobacillaceae
Description: bacterial SSU rRNA
Rfam family: Bacterial small subunit ribosomal RNA
Source: RNAcentral
UUGAAGAGCUUGCUCAGAUAUGAUGAUGGACAUUGCAACAGAGUGGCGAACGGGUGAGUAACACGUGGGAAACCUACCUCUUAGCAGGGGAUAACAUUUGGAAACAGAUGCUAAUACCGUAUAACAAUAGCAACCGCAUGGUUGCUACUUAAAAGAUGGUUCUGCUAUCACUAAGAGAUGGUCCCGCGGUGCAUUAGUUAGUUGGUGAGGUAAUGGCUCACCAAGACGAUGAUGCAUAGCCGAGUUGAGAGACUGAUCGGCCACAAUGGGACUGAGACACGGCCCAUACUCCUACGGGAGGCAGCAGUAGGGAAUCUUCCACAAUGGGCGAAAGCCUGAUGGAGCAACGCCGCGUGUGUGAUGAAGGGUUUCGGCUCGUAAAACACUGUUGUAAGAGAAGAAUGACAUUGAGAGUAACUGUUCAAUGUGUGACGGUAUCUUACCAGAAAGGAACGGCUAAAUACGUGCCAGCAGCCGCGGUAAUACGUAUGUUCCAAGCGUUAUCCGGAUUUAUUGGGCGUAAAGCGAGCGCAGACGGUUAUUUAAGUCUGAAGUGAAAGCCCUCAGCUCAACUGAGGAAUUGCUUUG